RNAcentral lists this ribosomal RNA (156 nucleotides) under uncultured bacterium. RNAcentral describes it as "partial 16S ribosomal RNA". It matches the Rfam family "Bacterial small subunit ribosomal RNA", at positions 338 to 508 of the family's 1533-position model. The record is from RNAcentral.
CCUACGGGAGGCAGCAGUGGGGGAUAUUGCGCAAUGGGGGAAACCCUGACGCAGCAACGCCGCGUGAAGGAUGAAGGUCUUCGGAUUGUAAACUUCUUUUAUUAAGGACGAAGAAAGUGACGGUACUUAAUGAAUAAGCUCCGGCUAACUACGUGC